GUAACAUCUACUUCGGAACGCGAGUCUAUCUGUCAAAUCAAUACGUCAUUCAAAUUGUUUUCGUGCCGGUUGUUAUGUUAUGCGUAGAGUUGAAUUUAUUCCUCCGUAUUUGCUUCUGAUCGUUACAAUUUGCGUAAAAACUGUCGAGCUGAUCGUUUUCGUGCCUCCAGUGGUUUUUUUUUAGAUAUUGGACUCUUUUCUUAAUGAUAAGUGAGCACAUUGACUCGUGAGCAUUGGACUCUUGUUUUUAGUGAUAUUGUUGUUUUACUCCGGAAAAAUGUCUGCACCUGGUAGAAGUCGAGUAAACUACUCUUUGUCUCGCCGGUGUGUUAAUUGCUCUUUACGUAUAGCGCCUAAUCUGCGUAGACGUUAAAUUGAAGAAAUAGAUGAACCAAUGCUUAUCCUUCUAAGAUCCUGGGUAACACCUACAUUGAUAUCUUCUGAUGAUAUCCUGUGUGUGAAAUGUUUUGUAUUAUUACAAAACCAGACAGCAUCUAACUCAAAUCUGUCACUUGUAUCCCCUGCUCGUGGACACCUAAACAUAUGCUACGCAUGUGGCUUGUCAAUAGCAAGUCGCAAAACUCAUAGAGUCAGUCAAGAUAGUUCCUCAAAGGAAUGUUAUACUAAGAUGGACACCAGUACAUCACGUGUUGCAUUUGGAACGAGUUUGUGUUCCUUGUUGGGCGGCUGCAUCAAGACAAGUCCGGAGGCAACCCGUUGCUGGCAGUAGCCAACACACUGUGGAGUCUGCACCGGAGACUGGUACCAUGGAUGGAAACAUAAUUACAGAUAUGAUGAUUCCUGUACCACCACCACUGCCACGGCUUUAAUGAUAUAAGCGCUCCAGCACAAUUUCUAGACAACAUAUUCCUUGAAGAAUAAAUGUUUAUUAUUUUAAUUGGUUGUGUUUUUUCUUAUUAAACAUCUGUAUAGCAUUUACUAUAUUUUAAACUCCUUUAUAAUUAAGCCCUUUCUAAAAUAAACUACAGCUAAUCAUAGAUGGCACAGCGAUCUUACUAAGUAGCAGGGCAGUGAUUUUACUAUGUCGCUUGCAGGAGAUGCUGUCAUAUAUGUCAUACAUACUCGUAUAUACUAGGUACCUACCAGUUUGCCAACAAUCUUGGGGUCGGCUUUUAGUCUAACCGAUGCCGCUGAAUACAGUAUUGCUCAAAGAGUGAUUGCCCAUCUGACCUCCAUACCCGAUACACUGGGUUAUAACAUGUUACCUCUUGGUAAGUGGUUGUCACACUUGCUGGAUUCUAGCUACUCAUAACAAGUAUAAAUAAUGCACCCAGAAUCAGCAGUUUAAAUGUAAGUACUAGCAGCCACCCAGCUGAAGUUUGUAAUGGAUGGUCACCCAAGUGCAAUCUGACCAAGUAGCUUAACUUAAGAUAUCUCCUUGUGGUUGUUGUAACGUAGCCACAUGCUCCUCCAACCAAUUUAGCCCUAAGUAUAUUUAUUUCUACUGGUGCCAGCAAAACCUACUUCCGCUGACUGCA
Helicoverpa armigera (cotton bollworm) is the source of this 1499-nucleotide long non-coding RNA. RefSeq lists it as uncharacterized. The record is from RefSeq and is a predicted model, not a curated record. NCBI's taxonomy places the organism in Eukaryota, Metazoa, Arthropoda, Insecta, Lepidoptera, Noctuidae. The transcript is spliced from 3 exons.